UACGUAGGGAGCAAGCGUUGUCCGGAAUCAUUGGGCGUAAAGCGCGCGUAGGUGGCCUCAUAAGUCCGCUGUGAAAGUCAAAGGCUCAACCUUUGAAAGCCGGUGGAUACUGUGGGGCUAGAGUACGGAAGAGGCGAGUGGAAUUCCUGGUGUAGCGGUGGAAUGCGCAGAUAUCAGGAGGAACACCGGUGGCGAAGGCGGGUCUCUGGGCAGUAACUGACGCUGAGGAGCAAAAGCGUGGGGAGCGAACAGG
Molecule: ribosomal RNA, 253 nt
Filed under: uncultured bacterium
Lineage: Bacteria
Description: partial 16S ribosomal RNA
Rfam family: Bacterial small subunit ribosomal RNA
Source: RNAcentral